Long non-coding RNA from Grus americana (Whooping crane), 940 nucleotides. RefSeq lists it as uncharacterized. The record is from RefSeq and is a predicted model, not a curated record. NCBI's taxonomy places the organism in Eukaryota, Metazoa, Chordata, Aves, Gruiformes, Gruidae. The transcript has 5 exons.
GUUUUAGGUCACAGUGAUUAGUGAAGGGCUCCCUGCCUCUGGAUGAGAAAGCAGUUGAAGUCCAUCGAUGGUUAAAGGCAACUCACCGAGUCUUUCGUAGUGGACUACUGGGAUCUAGACUGACACAAAUUACAGUUAUAUAUCAAGAUCAGACUUUUAAAUCGUUCUAAAAUCAAACCUCCUGUUGCAAUGACAGAGUUCUCUAUGCAGGCCAAUAUUCCUGAUCUCCGGGAGCAAUGAGCCCUUUGAGAUGGAAUCACAGACUGGUUCAGGCUGGAAGGAACCUCUGGAGACCACCUAGUCCACCCCUCUCCCCGCUGAGGCAUGGUCACCACGUCCAGAUGGCUUUUGAACACCUCCAAGGACAGAGACUCUGCCACCUCUUCACGCAACCUCUCCCUGCUGGCGUAGUGCAGAGUAAAGCAGCUCAAUGUCAUGUAGCUGGAGUGAAGACAUGCAGAUCAGGUCCAUCUCUCCAUGUAAUUCCACCUGUGAAGCUGUGGACAUAGAGAAGGAUGAAGAAGCAAGUGUCAGGAGCAGAAACAGGGGAUUGGGAAUGCCCUGCUGUACAUCGGCCUGUGUCUCGAUGAUCAUUGCACUGCAGCUCAGGACACCAGAGUUCUUCUGAACAGCACAUUGUAUUCACAGAAAUCUCAAUCUUAUUGGAAAUCUAGGUCUGGAACAGUAAAGCCAAGAAACAGGUAUGCUUGCACUGGUAUUUCUGUGCCCAGAAGUACUGUCUUCAUAUGGAUGACAGCAAUCCGGUCGACGACUGAGGAUUCGCCACAUCUGUUGCCUAGUAUAAACACGUGGGUGAAUUCAGUGAAAGAAAGUAAAUCAGAAAACAUCAAAUUCCUCCAGACUCAGGUACCAGCAGAAAGCACAUUCGGCAUUUCCACUUCCAACCAUGGAAUCAAACACACCUAAAUCACUUCAAAUA